Long non-coding RNA from Triticum aestivum (bread wheat), 1556 nucleotides. RefSeq lists it as uncharacterized. The record is from RefSeq and is a predicted model, not a curated record. The transcript has 2 exons. Lineage: Eukaryota; Viridiplantae; Streptophyta; Magnoliopsida; Poales; Poaceae.
CUUGGCCACACUGCCAGAGGCUCGGAGUGCACACAGAAGGUCAGACCACAACAUUAGGCGGCCACACCUACCGCCGAACUCCACUCCUUCUGGAACUACAACCACAGCAAACUCUGAGUGGACGAGUGCUGGGUGAUGACGGAAAUGACUCUGAUGCGGAGCAUAAGUGAUCCCACAGCUCCCCUUCACUCAACAGCUUCUUGCUCUCCGACACUGAGAUGCACUUCAAACCAUGGUAAAGAUAGAAGACCUCCUCAGCCCCCAGCUGGAACCACGGUUUCUCUGCUUCGGCAGUAUCCAGCACGCGGCCAAAGGCAGCACGGUUAAGAAGUAAAGCUUGCUGCAGAUUCACACCGAGGGUCGCAUCCCUGCCCCGACUAGAUAAAGUUGCCACAAGUUUCGAGCCUUUCAGCGAGGACUGGAGCUCAGCAACAAUGCUUGACAUGGGGUGAGCUGCUGCCAGAGCUGCAAAGUCCUUGCCGUCUUUGCCCUUCUUCCAUCUUGGACCCGCCAUGUCCAUAAGCUGAGAACAGAAACAAUACAGUGUCAGCUACAGUAGCCAAGUAACGACAGAUGAAGCAGAAGCACGUCGAUUGUUAACUUGUACUCUAUCCGGUUCACGAGUACUCAAAUUUCUUGCCAUUGAUUUGGCCUCAUGGUUCGUGCUCCACAAGCGGCGGCCGGCUCUCAAGGGAUGAACUCCCGUGCAAGGCCAGCUAACAUUGCGGUGGGCAGUACAGCUCAAAUUGCAGAGAGUAAAAUAUAUCUGGAUAUACUGAAUUACUGAUAGUGUAACCGAGUCUGAAAAGUUAGCUUCGUUUGACAUCUGAACUUCCAUUUUUAGGUUGUUGGGAGGGCGAAAACAGCCGGUGAUUAUCGGAUUAUUGGCAUUGACACUGAUAGCAAUGAGUUAGAUUUUUUUUAGGGAAAUCAAUGAGUUUGAUUUGCUAUGAUUAUAGUUCCUGUAGUUCUUUUCAUUGCACAUUCCAAGCAUAGAAACUAGUAGCAUGUUGUAAAAAAAAAUAUCCGGUUUAAGCCGCAUGAUUUCUUUUGUACAAAUACUGAAGAAAGCAACCCACAUUGACCACUUCUGCAGCCAUGUGAGUGGAACUAGGUAAGGAGAGAGCAGCAAAGAAAGGGAAGUGAGGAACGGACCCAGCAAGAGACGCCGUCGAGGUCGCGGGGGCCGAGCCAGGGAGGGCGCCCGAGCAAGGGCUGUCGAGGUCGCCGCGCCUUCGUCGGGGGCGUGGUCGAGCGGGCGGCGGCGAGCGGACUUGCAGGCGACAGGCGGCGCGGGGGCGAGCAGAAGACUCGGCGGGGCGAGCGGGGACGCGGGCGGGAGGACAGGCGGAGGUCGAUGGGAAGCAGCGCCGCCGCCGGCUGAUUCGGGAGGCGGAAGAGGAGGAAGGAGAGAUGCGUACGUGGUGAUAGGGUUAGAACAAAAGGGUAUAUCUGUCUUUUUUAGGGAGAAAAGGGUAUAUGUUGUAAUUCGGUAUUAAAGAGUUUUUUUUUAAAGAAGGUAAUAAAGAGUUGAGUGCUGUGUUGGCACUUUGCUA